RNAcentral lists this ribosomal RNA (472 nucleotides) under uncultured bacterium. RNAcentral describes it as "bacterial SSU rRNA". It matches the Rfam family "Bacterial small subunit ribosomal RNA", at positions 355 to 825 of the family's 1533-position model. The record is from RNAcentral.
UCGAGAAUCUUCCGCAAUGGGCGAAAGCCUGACGGAGCGACGCCGCGUGUAGGAUGAAGGCCCUCGGGUUGUAAACUACUGUCACGGGUUAUGAAUGUGCAUAUGUUAACAGCGUGUGUAUUGACGUAAGCCCGAAAGGAAGCACCGGCUAACUCUGGGCCAGCAGCCGCGGUAAUACAGAGGGUGCAAACGUUGUUCGGAAUUACUGGGCAUAAAGCGCGCGUAGGCGGCGACGUAAGUGUAGGGUGAAAUCCCACGGCUCACCCGUGUGAAUUGCCCCGCAUACUGCGUUGCUUGAGUGUGGUAGGGGAGAGCGGAACUCCUGGUGGAGCGGUGAAAUGCGUAGAUAUCAGGAGGAACACCGGUGGCGUAGGCGGCUCUCUGGUCCAUAACUGACGCUGAAGUGCGAAAGCUAGGGUAGCGAACGGGAUUAGAUACCCCCGUAGUCCCUGAGCGGGCUGGCAAGGCGCAU